This 922-nucleotide long non-coding RNA is filed under the name Manihot esculenta (cassava). RNAcentral's name for it is "long non-coding RNA (MESC_LNC004460)". The record is from RNAcentral. Lineage: Eukaryota; Viridiplantae; Streptophyta; Magnoliopsida; Malpighiales; Euphorbiaceae.
UCCAUCUGUGUAGGAUUGGACCUGAGGAGAGGUGUCUAGCUUCAGUGCUAGUUGACCCAGAGUUUGUUGAGCAGUGGCUUCAGGUGAGUAGAACUAACUCAAUCUUUUACUUUAAGAAAAUCCAAUGUUUAAUGCAUCUUUUAUUUCAAAGAGUUCAAAUGCCUAAAGCAUAUGCAUGCAUCAUGUUUAUAUGUUAUAGGAUGAUUGCACUAGUUUCACGAAGGUGACGCAUUGCAUAAUGUGCUAUGUAUAUGAUGUGAAGGGUGGACCGAGGCGACUUCAAUAGCCCAUAUCUGUCAUAGAGUCUUGUCUAUGUCCUUUGGGAGCCGGACAAGUACAUGUAGGAAAGUCCUUGUGAGCUCUCUGUGGACCAGACACCAUGUCAUGUAUGUUACAGGCCUUUGUGAGCUUCUUUGGGGAGCCGGGCACCGACAGAGGGUAUUUUUGAGGUCAUGUCCAUCCUCUGAGAGGAAGGAUGCUAGCAUUUUACGAGGACUCUCAGAAACCAGGUUCCGUGGGGAAUGUAUGCUUGUGUGAACCCCGAGACGGAAAAAGUAUGUGAUUUCUCUGUGUUAUGACGCAUUUCAUGAAAGCAUAAAGAAAGAGAAAGAAUAAAAUGAAUAAUAAUAUACCUAAAAAUGGAGGAACUAAAUCAAAUGUUUUUUCUCUGUUUCUACUCACUGGGCUCUUGUAGCUCACCCCAUUCCCUUAACCCCAGUUUUGCAGGGCCAGAGUAAGUAAGCCAGAGUUCAGUCAGAAGAGCUAUGGGAUAGAAGAGGUUCAAGCAUGGGUUGCCAUGUUUGGUUGUAAUAGCUUAGCUUGUUUUGUUUAUGUUUAUGCAUAAGGAGAGAUGCUUAUUGUAUAUGUUUAUGGAGAUAGUAUGUGAUGUAAGUUGCUAAAGAGAUGAUAUGUUAUGUAAUGC